RNAcentral lists this ribosomal RNA (460 nucleotides) under uncultured bacterium. Its description in RNAcentral is "partial 16S ribosomal RNA". It matches the Rfam family "Bacterial small subunit ribosomal RNA", at positions 338 to 795 of the family's 1533-position model. The record is from RNAcentral.
CCUACGGGAGGCAGCAGUGAGGAAUAUUGGUCAAUGGGCGGUAGCCUGAACCAGCCAAGUCGCGUGAAGGAUGACUUCCCUAUGGGUUGUAAACUUCUUUUAUAUCGGGAUAAAAUGCCUUACGUGUAGUGUUUUGAAUGUACCGUAUGAAUAAGGAUCGGCUAACUCCGUGCCAGCAGCCGCGGUAAUAUGGAGGAUCCGAGCGUUAUCCGGAUUUAUUGGGUUUAAAGGGUGCGUAGGUUGGUUGAUAAGUCAGUGGUGAAAGAUUGCGGCUCAACAGUAAAGUUGCAGUUGAUACUGGAAGCCUUGAGUACAGUAGAGGUAGGCGGAAUGUGUGGUGUAGCGGUGAAAUGCUUAGAUAUCACGAAGAACUCCGAUUGCGAAGGCAGCUUGCUAGACUGGAACUGACACUGAUGCUCGAAAGUGUGGGGAUCAAACAGGAUUAGAUACCCGUGUAGUC